CCUACGGGGGGCAGCAGUCGAGAAUCAUUCACAAUGGGGGAAACCCUGAUGGUGCGACGCCGCGUGGGGGAAUGAAGGUCUUCGGAUUGUAAACCCCUGUCAUGUGGGAGCAAAUUAAAAAGAUAGUACCACAAGAGGAAGAGACGGCUAACUCUGUGCCAGCAGCCGCGGGAAUACAGAGGUCUCAAGCGUUGUUCGGAAUCACUGGGCGUAAAGCGUGCGUAGGCUGUUUCGUAAGUCGUGUGUGAAAGGCGCGGGCUCAACCCGCGGACGGCACAUGAUACUGCGAGACUAGAGUAAUGGAGGGGGAACCGGAAUGCUCGGUGUAGCAGUGAAAUGCGUAGAUAUCGAGAGGAACACUCGUGGCGAAGGCGGGUUCCUGGACAUUAACUGACGCUGAGGCACGAAGGCCAGGGGAGCGAAAGGGAUUAGAUACCCCUGUAGUC
This 446-nucleotide ribosomal RNA is filed under the name uncultured bacterium. RNAcentral's name for it is "partial 16S ribosomal RNA". It matches the Rfam family "Bacterial small subunit ribosomal RNA", at positions 338 to 795 of the family's 1533-position model. The record is from RNAcentral.